GUCGGUGGCGGAGCUGCGGGGGUGUCGGUACCCGGAGAUGAUGCUCUCCUCAUGGAACACCUCCAGACAAAUAAAGAAAGAAGGAAAAGUCUUUUACAAACCUAAAGCUACCGAACAUCUGUGUCUCAUGUUGAGCCGGACUUACUUUGGGCACUUGUUUGAUGGUGAAGACGCGUGGGAAGCGGAUGAGGCUGAGCAUGGCUGCGUGGAGGAGCCGCGGCCGUCACAGAGGCGAGCUGCGCCGACGCUGCGCUCGGAGGCUGCGCGUGCGGCUUUUCAAGGUUCGCGUUGCCAUGUUCUGCAGGUUCCUCCCUCUCAAACCUGGCCAGAAAAACCUGUACCUGCGCCCCACCCCACCUGGAGGCGGCGGCGCGCGCGCACGCACGCACGCACGCGCGCGCCAGACUACUUGUCGCUUUUGUGGAUUUUCUCGGCUCAACAUUUGUGAUGUUUUCAAAACAAAGCGUUUCUAAUUGAGUGACCGCUCAGUCGGUCCAGUGGAGCGGGUUCCAGUGGGUCAGAACCGGAGCAGCUUCAAGCCCGUCCAGAACAGGCUGCCGCUGUGAAUGAGGGGCGGCGCUACUUUCUUCACGUCUCCUGAUUAAACCGACGCGUCGCCGUCAGCUCCGUCUGAGCCGCUCAGGCCUUUUAUCUAGUUCAAACAGUGAAGCAACGAACGCAAACAAAUCUCACAGCUGCCACUGGAACCCCAAAUCAUUUUUUGUUGAUAUUUGUCUAAUGUGAACAAGAAAAGCAGGAUAAUAGAAUCCUAUUUGUGGUUAUGAGCUGUUUGUGGUUUCAGGCAUCAGUAAAAGCACACGCUGACUUGAUGUGUUAACACAACAGACAACAACAGACAAGUUGACGCCUCGUCUCGCAGACUGACGCUCAACUCAAUUAUCAGCUUUGUUUCUAUUAAGACACGUUCACGGACCCACUGCGCUGCUCUGUAAACCUCACGACACGCAGGUCGACUCGAGUUCAGCUCGGAGUCGCUCCAGUUAAUGUGUGUUAAAGUCAUCGACGCGUUAGUGGCCAAGGACAAAGACACAAUAACAACACUGUCUGGAGGAAUAUGGUGAAACCGCUGGAGCUUCCAGAGUCUGCCGCUUUGGUAAAGUCAGACACAGACACACCCAAACAUGCCUUUACUGAGGAGCGCGGACGGGCGGAGUCUGCACGACUUAUAUCAUAUGUAAACAAACAGGCUGAUAGUGCGUGUCGCUUGGAUGAGUCCAAACAGAUCCGGUCCAUUCGCAGCCUCAGCUGCUGCUGUCGGCUCAUCACACGUCUCCUUCAACUCAAAUACCAUGAAAAUGACGUGAAGUGGCUUCAUUACGGUUAAUAAAGCGGCGUCAAAUACAUGAACCAGAAAAAGCUGCUCAUCAAUAGAACACAGGCCUCCACAGUCAUCAGACCUCAAGCACCACUGCCCUCAACGCUAUCAACAAAAGGAAAAAGCGAAGCGAGACAGACUACGGCGCUGACGUCAUCCAGUGGCUGCUGACACGUGCAGUGCCUCGUCUCACCACAAGGUGUCGUUGCUUUCAAGGAGAAGCAGCAAAGGUUCGUCCGCCUCGCUCAAAGCUCGCUUCUACGUUUGUAACGUAUUAACAGUUUGUUUACUUCUUUAAAUGACUUUCACGAGUUAUUUUUUUGGACCUCAGUAACACAAUAUCAAAGUAUAAUAGCAGUAAUUUGUGGGAAUGUGUUACAAAUAUAUUAUUAAACGUUACUGAAUAAAUGACUCAGGUUUUUAAACUAUGACAUUUAUUAAAGCAGAAUUCACUGUAGUAGUUGAGAUAAUUCCAACUUCAUAUAUCUCUCAUAGUCUCAUAUAUAUUAUAUGUUAUAACUUCAGCCAUUUUAUCUUAAGCUGACAAAGUGAACGGUUGAGUAAAAAACAAAGUAAAGGCAGCAAAGGAGGAGCUGAACAUUGAACUACAUCUCUGAACGUCCCUCUACACUGAGCUUGUGCUAAUCGCUGGUUGGAGCCGUGAUCCGGUGGCGCCGGCUGCUGAGCUGCAGAUGCUCAGAUGCUGCUGCCUCCCUGGGGUUCUGGUUGAUGAGGUGCAGUUUGUGCCGUCAUGACGUUUUUUGUGUCAGUUUUUCUGCUAAGUAAAUUUAACAGUUCUGGUGAUUCACUCAUUUGUAACUUAAUGAGAAUAUUUCUCGAACAAAACAUCUUUCAUUUAAUCAGUAGUUACUCAAGGUGAAAAGGUUUCAAACCAGGAAAAAGCUGCUUAAUAAUUUCGUGCUUAAUUCACGAAAACGUUUUGCGUGAGAUUCCUAAACAACACAGGGAAAUCUAAUCACGCAGGGUUCACUGGCGUGUUAAUUUCAUCAAGUGGGUAAAUUUAUACUCUAUCAAAGCCUCCGGCCUCCAGACCAAGGCUUCACUCUAAUGUUAUAGCAGCUAUCUGAAAGGCAUCUGAACAGCAGCAGAGGCCGUAGAGGGAGCGGCUUAUCAGCCUUUGGAGGGGCCAAUUACAGGAGACCCACUGAGGACAAGGAGGAAAGAGACGUGUGCUGGACUGAAUAAAUGCCAGAAGGUAAUGAAAAAUGCAAAUAGGUGGCAGGAGAUACAGUCCCUCUCAGGUGCCUGAGCUUCUCGCUGGAUCAAAACAGUCUAAUUAGGAUCAAUUAUGAAGCAGGAGUGUUUUUCCUCAGGUCUGAAUCAGACUUGCUUCACAGGAGCGGUUCUCCUCACACUACUGGAAAAAUCCUCACAAACAACCAACCAAAAAAAAAAAAAUAAUAAAUUAUUUAUA
Molecule: long non-coding RNA, 2771 nt
Organism: Betta splendens (Siamese fighting fish)
Lineage: Eukaryota; Metazoa; Chordata; Actinopteri; Anabantiformes; Osphronemidae
Exons: 3
Source: RefSeq, a predicted model, not a curated record